AAGAGUAUAGUAUAAUUGGUUAUUACAAUUGACUUCAAAUCUAUUAAUAGUGGUUCAAAUCCGCUUACUCUUG
Molecule: transfer RNA, 73 nt
Filed under: Groenewaldozyma salmanticensis
Lineage: Eukaryota; Fungi; Ascomycota; Dipodascomycetes; Dipodascales; Trichomonascaceae
Description: tRNA-Trp
Rfam family: tRNA
About the family: Transfer RNA (tRNA) molecules are approximately 80 nucleotides in length.
Source: RNAcentral